RNAcentral lists this ribosomal RNA (449 nucleotides) under uncultured bacterium. RNAcentral's name for it is "bacterial SSU rRNA". It matches the Rfam family "Bacterial small subunit ribosomal RNA", at positions 355 to 796 of the family's 1533-position model. The record is from RNAcentral.
UGGGGAAUAUUGCGCAAUGGGCGAAAGCCUGACGCAGCGACGCCGCGUGGAGGAUGAAGGUCUUCGGAUUGUAAACUUCUGUUAAGUGGGAAAAAAGUUCUAUUCCUAAUACGAAUAGGAGAUGAUGGUACCACUAGAGAAAGCACCGGCUAAACUCGUGCCAGCAGCCGCGGUAAUACGAGUGGUGCAAGCGUUAUUCGGAAUCAUUGGGCGUAAAGGGUGCGUAGACGGCAUAUUAAGUCUGUUGUUAAAUCCCUCGGCUUAACCGAGGAUAUGCGGCGGAUACUGAUGUGCUAGAGGAUGGAAGAGAGAAGUGGAAUUCUCGGAGUAGCGGUAAAAUGCGUAGAUCUCGAGAGGAACACCGAUGGCGAAGGCAGCUUCUUGGUCCAUUCCUGACGUUGAGGCACGAAAGCGUGGGGAGCAAACAGGAUUAGAUACCCGCGUAGUCC